AAAACGUGUGUCUGCCGCUUGGAUGGCAUACGUACCGGCGACGGCGCGUGGGGUAUGAUUAUCAAGACAUAUUUAACACAUAAGCUUUGUAACGGAGAGGCAUUUGACCACCUACAAAUACCGGCGUCUCCUCUC
Trichoplusia ni (cabbage looper) is the source of this 135-nucleotide small nuclear RNA. RefSeq annotates it as U11 spliceosomal RNA. The record is from RefSeq and is a predicted model, not a curated record. The transcript has a single exon. NCBI's taxonomy places the organism in Eukaryota, Metazoa, Arthropoda, Insecta, Lepidoptera, Noctuidae.